This 449-nucleotide ribosomal RNA is filed under the name uncultured Rickettsiaceae bacterium. RNAcentral describes it as "bacterial SSU rRNA". It matches the Rfam family "Bacterial small subunit ribosomal RNA", at positions 29 to 505 of the family's 1533-position model. Lineage: Bacteria; Pseudomonadati; Pseudomonadota; Alphaproteobacteria; Rickettsiales; Rickettsiaceae. The record is from RNAcentral.
AACGAACGCUGGCGGUAUGCUUAACACAUGCAAGUCAAACGGGUUUUUUUUGAAGCUUGCUUUAAGAAAAAUCAGUGGCAAACGGGUGAGUAACGCGUGGGAAUCUACCCAUUAGUAUGGAAUAACAUCUGGAAACAGAUGCUAAUACCGUAUAUUCUCUAAGGAGGAAAGAUUUAUCGCUAAUGGAUGAGCCCGCGUCAGAUUAGGUAGUUGGUAGGGUAAUGGCCUACCAAGCCGACGAUCUGUAGCUGGUCUUAGAGGAUGAUCAGCCACACUGGGACUGAGACACGGCCCAGACUCCUACGGGAGGCAGCAGUGGGGAAUAUUGGACAAUGGGCGAAAGCCUGAUCCAGCAAUACCGCGUGAAUGAUGAAGGCCUUCGGGUUGUAAAAUUCUUUUAGUAGGGAAGAUAAUGACGGUACCUACAGAAAAAGCCCCGGCUAACUCCG